This is a long non-coding RNA of Juglans microcarpa x Juglans regia, 407 nucleotides long. RefSeq lists it as uncharacterized. NCBI's taxonomy places the organism in Eukaryota, Viridiplantae, Streptophyta, Magnoliopsida, Fagales, Juglandaceae. The transcript is spliced from 3 exons. The record is from RefSeq and is a predicted model, not a curated record.
AGUAGGACCGAAUCUGUCGUGGUUGUCGUCAUGGGUAGCCGAGUCUGCAUCUAUCUUCAUCGUCGUUGGUAGUACCGAAUCUGCAUCUUUGUUUGUCGUCGUGGGUUGAAGCCAAGUUCACCUGAGAUUUUCUGCUCUUACGGGUCUACUUUAUCCAUAACACCUCACAAAGCAUCACCAGCAACUCCAAGAGUUAGUAGACCAAGCAUGGGAGUAGCUAUAUCAGAAUUUGGUUCAGCCUCUCUCCUUUGCAGAAUCAUGCCCCUAAACUCCUUACUAAUGGGUCACAACAACAGCACUGAACCAAUACCAAACAAACAACUCAGUAGCAGCCGCUCCCUCCAAGCCAAUCGAAAGCAAGUCAUGUGGAAAUUUUGAUGAUGAAUUAUAGUUGUAAUUAUAUUUUG